GACGAACGCUGGCGGCGUGCUUAACACACGCAAGUCGAACGGAAAGGCCUCUUUCGGGGGGUACUCGAGUGGCGAACGGGUGAGUAACACGUGAGUAACCUGCCCUUGACUUUGGGAUAACUUCAGGAAACUGGGGCUAAUACCGGAUAGGAGCUCCUGCUUCAUGGUGGGGGUUGGAAAGUUUCGGCGGUUGGGGAUGGACUCGCGGCUUAUCAGCUUGUUGGUGGGGUAGUGGCUUACUAAGGCUUUGACGGGUAGCCGUCCUUAGAGGGUGACCGGCGACACUGGGACUGAGAUACGGCCCAGAUUCCUACGGGAGGAAGCAGUGGGGAAUAUUGAACAAUGGGUGGAAGCCUGAUGCAGCAACGCCGUGUGCGGGAUGACGGCCUUCGGGUUGUAAACCGCUUUCGCUCAUGACGAAGCUUUGUGUGACGGUAGUGGGUAAAGAAGCACCGGCUAACUACGUG
This 467-nucleotide ribosomal RNA is filed under the name uncultured bacterium. RNAcentral describes it as "partial 16S ribosomal RNA". It matches the Rfam family "Bacterial small subunit ribosomal RNA", at positions 28 to 507 of the family's 1533-position model. The record is from RNAcentral.